GACCCCGUAGCUCAGUGGAUAGAGCGCUUGGCUACGAACCAAGAGGCCGGGCGUUCAAAUCGCCCCGGGGUCA
This 73-nucleotide transfer RNA is filed under the name Candidatus Limnocylindria bacterium. Its description in RNAcentral is "tRNA-Arg". It matches the Rfam family "tRNA". Rfam says of the family: Transfer RNA (tRNA) molecules are approximately 80 nucleotides in length. Their secondary structure includes four short double-helical elements and three loops (D, anti-codon, and T loops). The record is from RNAcentral. Lineage: Bacteria; Bacillati; Chloroflexota; Candidatus Limnocylindria.